CGCAUCUGUGCAUGCAGCAUAUCAAUAAGCGGAGGAAAAGAAACUAACAAGGAUUCCCCUAGUAACGGCGAGUGAAGCGGGAAGAGCUCAAAUUUGAAAUCUUAAAGGGUUUCCCUUUACGAAUUGUAGUUUAAAGAAGUGUUUUCUGUUGAGGUUUUGGUAAAAGUUCUUUGGAAUAGGACAUCAUAGAGGGUGAGAAUCCCGUAUUUGACCUUUACUUUCAACUUUGUGAUACACUUUCAAAGAGUCGGAUUGUUUGGGAAUGCAGUCCAAAAUGGGUGGUAAAUUUCAUCUAAAGCUAAAUAUUGGCGAGAGACCGAUAGCGAACAAGUACCGUGAGGGAAAGAUGAAAAGAACUUUGAAAAGAGAGUUAAACAGUACGUGAAAUUGUCAAAAGGGAAGCGUUUGACACCAGUGUUGUUUUUCUGAAAAUCAAUUAAAGAACUGUUUAUGCUAAGCUGUUUAGACUUUAUCAGCUAACUGUUUAGUUUUGAGCUUUUCUUUAAUGCACUUUUCAGUUAACAAGUCAACAUCAAUUUCUUUUGCUGUAAAAAAGCUUGAGGAAGGUGGCUUGAGAUUCGUCUUAAGUGUUUAUAGCCUCUUGCCUAUGCAGUCGGAGAGAUUGAGGUCUGCAGCGUAGAUCCUCCGGGGCUAAAUGCAUUUGUGCUAAGUUAUAGCAUUUUAUAGACAACUUGUUGACUAUGAUUUGUCUUGUAGCUUACUCGCUUAUGUUAUUUUACCUACGCUUAGGAUGUUGAGUCAUCACACAUCUCU
Molecule: ribosomal RNA, 774 nt
Filed under: uncultured Neocallimastigales
Lineage: Eukaryota; Fungi; Neocallimastigomycota; Neocallimastigomycetes; Neocallimastigales
Description: partial large subunit ribosomal RNA
Rfam family: Eukaryotic large subunit ribosomal RNA
Source: RNAcentral